AGCAGCCGCGGUAAUUCCAGCUCCAAUAGCGUAUAUUAAAGUUGCUGCAGUUAAAAAGCUCGUAGUUGAAUUUCGGGACCAAUAUGUCGGUCGUGCCUCGGUACGUACUGGCAUCGUUGGUUUCUCCUUUCUGAAGAACCAUGAUGUCAUUUAUUUGGUGUCGUGGGGAAUCAGGACUGUUACUUUGAAAAAAUUAGAGUGUUUAAAGCAGGCUCACGCUUGAAUACAUUAGCAUGGAAUAAUGAAAUAGGACGUUUGAUUCUAUUUUGUUGGUUUCUAGGAUCGACGUAAUGAUUAAUAGGGAUAGUUGGGGGCAUUAGUAUUCAAUUGUCAGAGGUGAAAUUCUUGGAUUUAUUGAAGACUAACUACUGCGAAAGCAUUUGCCAAGGAUGUUUUCAUUAAUCAAGAACGAAAGUUAGGGGAUCGAAGACGAUCAGAUACCGUCGUAGU
Molecule: ribosomal RNA, 450 nt
Filed under: uncultured Glomus
Lineage: Eukaryota; Fungi; Glomeromycota; Glomeromycetes; Glomerales; Glomeraceae
Also listed under: 1 other name
Description: SSU rRNA
Rfam family: Eukaryotic small subunit ribosomal RNA
Source: RNAcentral